Molecule: unclassified non-coding RNA, 319 nt
Filed under: uncultured fungus
Lineage: Eukaryota; Fungi
Description: sequence contains ITS1
Rfam family: 5.8S ribosomal RNA (bases 1-106)
Source: RNAcentral
GAAACGCGAAAUGUAAUGUGAAUUGCAGAAUCCCCGUGAAUCAUCGAAUCUUUGAACGCACAUUGCGCCCUUUGGCAUUCCGAAGGGCAUGCCUGUUCGAGCGUCAUUAUCCCCCCUCAAACCUCGGGUUUGGUGUUGGGCCCGCGUUGGUUGGCGACGACCAACUGGCCUCAAAGGCAAUGACGGCUCCCGCUGGGACCCUUGGUGCAAUGAGCUUCUUUCGAGAGCACGCAUCGAGUUCGGACCCGGUGGGCCGGUCUCCCUUACGACUUUCUAAGGUUGACCUCAAAUCAGGCGCCGCCACCCGCCGAACUUAAGC